RNAcentral lists this transfer RNA (88 nucleotides) under Deltaproteobacteria bacterium. RNAcentral describes it as "tRNA-Ser". It matches the Rfam family "tRNA". From Rfam's summary of the family: Transfer RNA (tRNA) molecules are approximately 80 nucleotides in length. Their secondary structure includes four short double-helical elements and three loops (D, anti-codon, and T loops). Lineage: Bacteria; Pseudomonadati; Myxococcota; Myxococcia. The record is from RNAcentral.
GGAGAGGUGGCCGAGCGGUUGAAGGCACCGGUCUUGAAAACCGGCAGGGCGAGAGCCCUCGUGGGUUCGAAUCCCACCCCAUCCGCCA